GUGUGGACGCCAGUCUGCAUGGAGCCGACCUUGAAAUACCACCCUUUAAUGUUUGAUGUUCUAACGUUGGCCCCUAAUCGGGGUUGCGGACAGUGUCUGGUGGGUAGUUUGACUGGGGCGGUCUCCUCCUAAAGAGUAACGGAGGAGCACGAAGGUUGGCUAAUCCUGGUCGGACAUCAGGAGGUUAGUGCAAUGGCAUAAGCCAGCUUGACUGCGAGCGUGACGGCGCGAGCAGGUGCGAAAGCAGGUCAUAGUGAUCCGGUGGUUCUGAAUGGAAGGGCCAUCGCUCAACGGAUAAAAGGUACUCCGGGGAUAACAGGCUGAUACCGCCCAAGAGUUCAUAUCGACGGCGGUGUUUGGCACCUCGAUGUCGGCUCAUCACAUCCUGGGGCUGAAGUAGGUCCCAAGGGUAUGGCUGUUCGCCAUUUAAAGUGGUACGCGAGCUGGGUUUAGAACGUCGUGAGACAGUUCGGUCCCUAUCUGCCGUGGGCGCUGGAGAACUGAGGGGGGCUGCUCCUAGUACGAGAGGACCGGAGUGGACGCAUCACUGGUGUUCGGGUUGUCAUGCCAAUGGCACUGCCCGGUAGCUAAAUGCGGAAGAGAUAAGUGCUGAAAGCAUCUAAGCACGAAACUUGCCCCGAGAUGAGUUCUCCCUGACUCCCUGAGAGUCCUGAAGGAACGUUGAAGACGACGACGUU
This 698-nucleotide ribosomal RNA is filed under the name Escherichia coli. Its description in RNAcentral is "partial 23S ribosomal RNA". It matches the Rfam family "Bacterial large subunit ribosomal RNA", at positions 2162 to 2854 of the family's 2925-position model. The record is from RNAcentral. Lineage: Bacteria; Pseudomonadati; Pseudomonadota; Gammaproteobacteria; Enterobacterales; Enterobacteriaceae.